This 5889-nucleotide long non-coding RNA is filed under the name Sorghum bicolor (sorghum). Its description in RNAcentral is "long non-coding RNA (SBIC_LNC015750)". Lineage: Eukaryota; Viridiplantae; Streptophyta; Magnoliopsida; Poales; Poaceae. The record is from RNAcentral.
GCCUUUUAGAAACUUAUAGCCACCAUUAGUCAGACGCUAGUAAUAUAUAGCGUCCAACUGUCAGACCCUAUCCAUAAUAGAAAAUAACAGCACAGUUAUUCAUUAACCUCAAGAUUAGUACUAAUCAUACAAUCAAACAUACAAUCAAUGAGCCAUAAAAUCACCAAUUCCAUUUUGGACAAUACACAAUCAUGACAAUGAAGUUCAUCAUAGCUCACAAUUAUAUUAUAUCCAUAAACAUUUGUCUUGUGUUAUUUUCCACAACUUGCACAAAUAAGUUACAUGGCAUACGUACGGUUUGGCCAUCAAGAUAUAUGCAUAGCGCAUAGAUGCUUGAACUAGUUGCACAGCUCACAUCUCAUGGUUUGCUUGCACUCAUUACAAAAUGAUUCAUAACUUAAGUCUUAACAAAAGCAUUCAUCUCUAGUUAGGAUGUACAAAAUAAUGCACUAGUCAUGCACACUUCAGCCAACUGCUUCCUGCAUGGCCACCUCAAGCUAUUACCUCCCACCUGCAAAUAAAAGAUUACAUCCAUCAAUGAAAACUAGAAAUCCAACUCUUACAAAGUUCUAAAUUCAUGACACACUUGGUCUAGUGCUACUGUCAACACACAUGCUACUGUUGAUCUAAUGCUACUGUCAACUAUAUAUAUGGACAUAAUCUUCUCUUUUCUCCAGUCAAAUUGGAACAAAAAGUGUUCGACAACCAUGAACAUAACAUACAACAGAUCAGCUCCCUAAUUCAUAAUAAUCUUAUUUAAGAUGGAAUUGGUUUCUUUACCCUUUGGGACAGUACCUAUUGGAUUGAAUAUUAAUUGUCUGUUGAGGAAGACAAUUCUGCUGUUUGAGAAACUAAUGAAGGGAUGAUGUACAGCGCAUUCAGUUACACAUAAUCAGUAAAAUGGUCUUGGCAGUACAGUUACACAUACGUGCAUAUGGUUUCUUCUAUUUGAUAGAUAUGCAAUUGUAUCUAGCUAAUGAAUAUGAAGGCAGCAGCUGCGCGCAUGUUUCCCCACAUAGGUGCGUACGGUUCCUUCUAUCUGAUAAAAUAUGCGAUGCUCAUUUCAAUCUUAGAAUUUCAGAGAAUUCAAUGUCAAACUAAACAUGCGUGCUGCACCUUAAGGGAUUCCUAAAUCCCAAAUCCAGAGAAUAUAUACUUGACAUACCACAUACACAAACACAAUCAUGCGUGUUGCAGCAAGGAAGAUGACAGUCUGGCCGUACGGCAAAAAGGUUAAAAACAUCGAGUCACAGACGCGGAACGCGAUUAGCUGCAUUGAUGCGAGGGGAGACAACUUGGCAGCCAACCCUGCUUGCUUGCUGGGCUCUAGCUUUGGGGAAUAGAAAGAAUACUACUAGACUUACGUAUCCUGGCGUCAAGGGCCCUGUUCGUCGGCACCACUCGCACCCCCAGGGCUGGGCCUGCACGAGAUCUCAGGGAUUACCUUCGUGAUGCAGCUGACGGAUCCCUGGCUGCCGAGUUCAUCGACGGCGGAUCUAGCCUCAGCGCCGCCGGAGGUGCUGUGGGGCAUGUCGAUCCGGCCACCAGACUCCAGCCCCGCGCUGCAACCGCAGGAACGUGGGCCGCCGCCCGUCGCCAUGCCGCCUUGCUACACCGGCUAUGUGCAGUCGCACUCGCACCGCUGCUAGAGGGGCGCGCCGUCGAAGGAGCCCCCGUGCUCGAUCCACGCACACGAGAGACAGAGGGAGGGAGAGUUGGGCUUUCACUUGAGGGUGGGUGAAUGCACGAGAGGAUGGCUGGGAGAGAGAGUGGGAGGUUAGGGUUUGGAAGGGAUGAAGAGGUGCUUAUAUACCUAUGUUUUCGAUCCAACGGCCUUGAUUCAUUUGUGGUACAUCCAACGACCGGAAUAUAUCGGGCUGCAUAGUACUGGCCUAAAAACGGUUGAAUGGGCUGAAUUACACUCUUGGUUUUUUUUUUCUUCCAAAAUUUAUGAAUUUCAGAAUGCAAAAAAUUCAACCAUUUUUCAAUACCUAAAUCACCUCAAAUUAGAAAUUCAUGAAUACCAAGUUUGUUCAACUCAUGAAGAUCUAUAAUUGUUAUAUAGGUCAUUUUUGCAUUUGAAAAGUGUUGGAAAAAUCUAGUUAUAAAUUGACAAGUCUCUCACAUAGUUUCAUAAACCAUAUAUGAGAUUAAUGAAUUUGUGACUAGUGUUUUCUAACACUUUCUCAAAUGCAAAACUGACAUAUAUAAACAUUGUUUAUCUUGAUGAGUUAUACAACUCUUGUAUUCAAUAUUUUUUCAGCUGAGGUCGUUUAGAUGUUCAUUUGACGAUGUUUGACCAAGUCGCGUAUUUUUCGCGUAAAAUCGCGUGCUACGCGGUCGGUAGGAUUCGAACCUGAGACCUCACCCUCGCGCGUACCCUGCUCUACCACUCCACCUAUCACUCACUUGUAUUUGUAUUAGAGUUUAGUUCCCCACAUACUAUCCUAAACCAAGCAUAAAUUGAUUAUUUUGGUUUUACAACUUUUUAGGCGCCGGCUUUGAGCACUUCUGUACUAGUGUGCGUUAGAUUUUAGGCACAAAAGGUGAGCACAGCCUUAUUCCAAUAUAGCGACCAACAGUCAGACCCAAAACUAGGAUUUAGCGGCCAACUGGGGGAUGCUAAAUCAAAAUAACUAUACUGUCCGAUGGUUGGACGCUAAAGAAAGAUAUAGCGACCGACCGUUGGCCACCAUGUUAUAGCGACCGACCAUCCAACGCUACUUCCGUACUUAUAGCGACCCUCUGUUGGACGCUACGUUGGGCUGUGGUAUAGUGUUCGUUUAUCCAUCUUGGGAGAAGAAGCCUCUAAUCAAGCCCUAGAGCCACCACACCAAUAGAUCUCUAGUUUAGCAUAGCUACAUAGGAUUAGAACUAGAAGGAGUCAAUCUUCGAUUGGUUUCCGGAUCUGUCAGGAGGAUUCUUGGUAAUUCCUCUAUUGUUCUUCAAUUGUUCAUCUUUGUUCUUCAGUAUUAUGAAUGUGACUUUGUUCUACUUCAAUAUAUUGAUUAUGACUUUGCUCUACUUGUUUAUAUUCGCAAUUAUAUUGUUCUUAGUUUAUCAUAGUUAUAUGCUUGGCUUAGUUAGAUUGGAAUUAUAUACAUGUUUAGGAUCGUAUAGCGUUUAUCCAUGUGUACAGUGGGUAAAUAAUAAGUAUUGUGUAGGCGUGGUGCCUAUACCGUAUUUAUCUGCGAUUGUACCCUAUAUGCCAGAUCGUGGGGUAGUUCGUGGUAGUGACAGCUCCAUUGAUUCUUAUAUAGUCCCCCUCUCGUGUAUAGGGCUGGCAGAGCAACAUUAUUACAGGGGAGUGAUUGCUAUGUUUCUCAUAUUCCUUGAUAAUAUCACUAUGCAUGGGCGUAGUCCUGUCUCGCAAUGAUUGCCAAGUAUAAUUGCACUAACUAUGAAAUGCUAGACUUUAUAGUUAAGAAUAACUUAGGAAAUAUUCUUGUAGUUCGUUCUAAUUCCAUGCUAAUGACUUGCUAGAAUAUCUAUUGAGGUGCUUAUCAUAUUUAUAUGUGGCUAGUUAUGCUGAUCAGAUUAAUUAUCUUUGUCACCAUUCAUACUUUAUCUAUCUUUUAUGUGACACUUAUCCCUGUAUGAAAGAGAUAGAUAAAUGCUCUCAAUUAUACAUGCAAUGAUAGAUACUCAAUUCUAUAUUCCAUUCCAUAAUCAACAUUGAUGUUUAGCAAUCCCUUCCCAGUGGUAAAAAUAUAAAUAACGAUACCUGGAAUACUUUCCGGUUAAAAUGCUACAUCGGUAUUAAUCUUUGCGCUUGCAGAUCUCAUUUAUUAUUUAUUCAGAAGAGCAAUUGCAUAUUUCAAUACCGCGUCUCUCAUGUCAUGCUGGGGAUGACAACUUGGCUUAAGUGGCAUGAGGGAUAGGUUUGGCAUUUUUGGCUCUGUUAUCAGAAUUAGAAAACUAAGUCUAUUUUUGGUAAUGACGUUAAGAAUGCCCAACACAGUCCUAGAGACAGGAGGAGCAGGACAUAGCCAUUGGAGCAUUCGCAGAUGCUGAGGCCGAGGAGGAGUUUGAGUUUGCUUCAGACAGUUUAGACCAUGAUUAUCGUCUCGCUGUGCCAGAUCUUCCUCCGAGGCAGCAUGACCACGAGGCAGGAGGUUCUUCCAGUGCUACGGACCCAGCUUUGCUUGCUAUACUAGAGGGGAGAGGGCCGAUCAGUGGAGGGCAGCUGAGGAGCAGGCUAGGAGAGACAGAGAUCAGGCUACCGUCAAUGCAGCCAUGCAGACCAAGCAGGACGAGCUUCAGAGACAGCUCCUGACCUUCCAGGAGCAGCAGCUGGCUUUCCAGGCCCAGCAGACUGCCAUGAUGGCCGCUCUUAUGGCCGCAUCAGGGAUUUAGCUACCGCAGAUCUAGCUUCUAGGCACCUGUUUCAGAGUCAGUCGCAGCCGCCUCUCUAGCUACCUGCUCAGAGUCAGCUGUUCUCGACUCCUCAGCACUAGGUUUCUCAGGGUGUUAUCUCUUCUGGCUUUGAGCAGGUGCCCUAGUUUACCCCACUGUGCUUAGGCUUUACUCUAUAGUCAGCGACAACCUCAUAGCUUGUGUUGGACUCAUUGACAGGGCAGCACGUCUCCUUCUCAUAUAGUGCUCUAACUAGUGACCCUACGCCUUCUCCACUGCAGGCUCCUGCAGCUUUUACGCUCCCAGUCACCACUACCGAGCACCUGUCGUCGUCAGUGGCCUGGUCCGAGCAGCUUGCACCUUCUUCUACAUUGCCAGCGAUGUCAGCUACAGCUACAGAGUCCGUGCCAGCUUCUUCUGCAGGACUAGAGCCACCAGCACAGACCGUGAUAGCUACUGAGCCCACCGAGCAGACCCGGACCGCUUCCCCAGCUCCUGCAAUUUCCGAGGGUCACUCUACCUCCUUCGAGUCGACGGCCGAUGGAUCAGAUGAUGCAGCUCAAUUUCAGGUCGUGCCGCGGGACUCCACUGCUCCACCUCUGCCUCCUUUGACUUAGGUUUUUGGCGCUUGAUGCCAAAGGGGGAGAGGGUUUUAGAGUAUGAUAGAUUUAGGGGGAGCUAGAGCUAGAGAGGGCUUUUGGCUUUUGAUUACUUUGUGUGCUACUUCAUGCAUCAUGUUUCCUUUAUGCAUUUGUGUGAUAUACUUGUGAGAUACGUUUAUGGUUGUGAGACAUGACAUUAUGCGUCAUUGUGAUAUCUUUAUGUCAUGUGUUUGGCUCAUAUUACUUUGCUUCUAUGUUUUUUACUCUGAUGUACUAUGAGCCAUAUGUUAUAUCCUGUUGUACACAUCUCACAUAUUUGGAUGUAGGAUGGUAGACUUGGUUGAUAUAAGCAUGACUAAUCACUUUGUGUUCUUAUUGUCUCAUGCUUAUAGAAACCAAGUCAUUUGAAAACCUCAUUUCCUUCAUACUCGAGGUUAUUGUCAUCAAUCACCAAAAAGGGGGAGAUUGAAAGAGCAUCUAGGCCCUAAUGAGUUUCGGUGAUUAAUGACAAUGUUGAUUAUUGUGACUAACGUGUGUUUUGCAGAGGCAAAGUCGUUAGUGUUAGGUCAUGGUAACAGGUACUCGAUGAACAGGGACAUACAUGCCUACUUAAUAGUAGAAAUCAUCUCGAUUUUUAAAGGAUGAAUGUACAUCGUCAAGACUAGACUAGGUCUAAGUGCCAUAUGGUGAAGAAGUGCACUUAGAGUAGUUUAGGACUUUGUUUUCCUUUGACCGUACUAUUAAGAGGGGCUUUGAUUUAGUAGCUUGACUUAGGCAAGGCUUUAGGUUUAGGUGUGGUGCACACUUGGUAAACCUAGCACUAGGCAGCUCAGAGAUAGCCCUUAGAUCGUGAGGAACAAACUUUGUUUUGGAACGGUCAUGUUUCGAUGAAGUUUGGGUGCCUAUGUUGGCACCGGACGCUGCACGAGAU